GACGAACGCUGGCGGCGUGCUUAACACAUGCAAGUCGAACGGAAAGGCCCUGCUUUUGUGGGGUGCUCGAGUGGCGAACGGGUGAGUAACACGUGAGUAACCUGCCCUUGACUUUGGGAUAACUUCAGGAAACUGGGGAUAAUACCGGAUAGGAGCUCCUGCUGCAUGGUGGGGGUUGGAAAGUUUCGGCGGUUGGGGAUGGACUCGCGGCUUAUCAGCUUGUUGGUGGGGUAGUGGCUUACCAAGGCUUUGACGGGUAGCCGGCCUGAGAGGGUGACAGGCCACAUUGGGACUGAAAUACGGCCCAGACUCCUACGGGAGGCAGCAGUGGGGAAUAUUGCACAAUGGGCGGAAGCCUGAUGUAGCAACGCCGCGUGCGGGAUGACGGCCUUCGUGUUGUAAACCGCUUUCGCCUGUGACGAAGCGUGAGUGACGGUAAUGGGUAAAGAAGCACCGGCUAACUACGUG
Molecule: ribosomal RNA, 468 nt
Filed under: uncultured bacterium
Lineage: Bacteria
Description: partial 16S ribosomal RNA
Rfam family: Bacterial small subunit ribosomal RNA
Source: RNAcentral